Long non-coding RNA from Anthonomus grandis grandis, 2177 nucleotides. RefSeq lists it as uncharacterized. The record is from RefSeq and is a predicted model, not a curated record. The transcript is spliced from 8 exons. NCBI's taxonomy places the organism in Eukaryota, Metazoa, Arthropoda, Insecta, Coleoptera, Curculionidae.
UGUAUGAUUAUUUUAGGUACAAUAUAAGGGAAUCCCAAUGAAUGGAUAUCCCCUGGGAAGCAGUAGAAGAAGGUCCAGGAAGCUCUUUAUGUCUGAAGUUAUAGUUAUAGUGUUAUAAGUUAUUAUAAUGUGUGAUGAAAAAUGAACCAACCAAAUAAGUGAAGAUCAGCAGGGAGAGUGCAUAUCAGGAACAUAAAUUAUCCAUUUUAAUCUACAUAAAACAGAACCUGUUUAUCAUGGUCUUACUAAGUGGAAUUUACAUCCCAAAGAUAGCUGAAAGAUCAUCGCGAGAGUUCACCCAAACCUGAAACCAAACAAGAUACUGAUUGAAAUACUGAAAUAGACGGAGCAUAUUAUGUUGCUGGGGAGAAGAAGAGACCUAUUUUUAUGGCGGUAAAAGAGAUUCCUUAAAUGGAGGCGCUAGGAUAUUCCUAGUGCAAUACAUAGACAGGAGAAUAUUGUAAAAAGUAGCAGACUAGGAAGUUAAAGAAUAAAGGAGCCCAAGAAUAUAGUGCUGAAAACAAGGGCAAUUAAUUGAUACUUUUAAUCAGUUAGACCUAAGGGGAAAUUAAAAUACCUGGAACAUCAAGUCAGUUGGUGCUAAUAAAAAAGAAGAAGUCUUAAGAUAUUCCUGCAUGUGAACAGCAAGAACCAAGAAGAUUAUGCCACAGAAGACAAAAACAUUUAUUGAAGUGAAGGAAUAGGCGUGGAAGUACAUCAGAGCAAUAAUAAAAGUGAUCAAUAAAAGGAGGCGACCGGAACUUUAGGCAAUUUUAUUGUGAAAGUAUCAGCGUCGGACCCCUUGCAUUGGGGGUGCAGGCACGUACAAGGUCGAGGAAAACUAAUUUGUCCCAAACCGGGCCGAAAGUUAGGGAGUGACAUGCCCGCCUGGACAACAACAAGAAGAAAGUCAAACUGGUUAUGCGAGUAGUUAUAGUUGCACACGUACACGGAAGGGGUCUUGGACUGCCGGAAACUUUCCGGCAAAUCAUUAAAUUAGGCUCCGGAUCGUUUCCAGAUUCCAGAUUUUCUUGGACCUGACUUCCUUGUCCCCCUUUUAGAUGGUAUUAAGAUGGACUAGCGGCAUUCGUUUCAUGUUAAUAUGAACAACACGUUUUAGGGCUCCAGGGUUCCCGUUAAUUCGUCAAGCUCUUGAAUAUGCAUAAAUUCAAAAAGUGAGUUCGAGCCAAGUUAAGUUUCUCAAACUUAAACCAUGCAGUACAAUUUCAGCGGUUAAAACUAGGUUAACUUCCUGAGGACUGAAUACAUUAAAAUGAAAUUGAGACCUAGCCGGGCGCAAAUUAACGGGUGUUUUCGGGAAAAUCGGUUGAACAGUUAACCAUUUGUUAUCUGAAGCUCACUUUUUUUAAGAAUUGACCGGUAACAUAAAAUCAAUAUGAUUGCCAUUUUCAGAGCUUUUUAUUCAAAUUUUCCAUAAUCAGAAAGACCUUUGUUCCCUUUUUAAUAAAAAUCGGAGCGGACGUCUUCUGGCGAAGAAAUGUCGAUGGGAAAUCUUCUUAAACCGGAUCGGCGCGGCGCCACGGGUAAAAUUAUGCAAAGUGAGAUAUCUCGGAAUAUAAGGUUUUAAUAAACUUGAUUAUGGAAAUGGCCGGAAUAGUUAGAUUAUUUCAAUAACGCUCAUGAUAGUGUAAUUAAACAAUUACUUUAAAUAUUGAGAUUUAGUAUCGUGCCCAUGCAGCACAAUAAUGUUUAAAAUUACCAUAUAAUAAUAAUAUGUUUAUUAACCCAUUAAAAAAACUACACUGAUAUAAUAAUGGUUUUAAAUUUAAAAAAACCAAUAGAUGUUCAUCAGCUUCCUUUAUGUCAUAAGAGAGCUGUUGAAGCCUAUACUAUAUUAACAAUACAAAAAAUCUAACUAUUAUUAUAGUAGAGGCACGCAAAGUAAGAAUUAAGCAAUUUAUAGCCUACCUAUAGUACCCAACAUACUUUAACUUAAAAUAAUUAGUUACAUAUAAUUUAAUGGAAUAAUGUGACACCAGGUCACUGACUAAGAAGUAGAAGUCCCUAAUUCGUUUCUUAGAGUUGAGCAGAGAAACCCGAAAUUUGAUUUUAUUAAUGUAUGUCGAUACAUAUGAAAGGAUUUUUUAAAUAUUAUUUGUUUAUUAGGAAAAGUAAUUGUUAAAAUAUGUUUUCUAUGUAUAUUAAUAUUGUGUACA